Molecule: ribosomal RNA, 289 nt
Filed under: uncultured prokaryote
Description: partial 16S ribosomal RNA
Rfam family: Bacterial small subunit ribosomal RNA
Source: RNAcentral
AGAGUUUGAUCCUGGCUCAGGACGAACGCUGGCGGCGUGCCUAAUACAUGCAAGUCGAGCGGGCAUUUUCGGAUGUCAGCGGCGGACGGGUGAGUAACACGUGGGUAACCUGCCGUCAAAACUGGGACAACGCCUGGAAACGGGUGCUAAUACCAGAUAGGUUCUCGCCCCGCAUGGGGGAGGAGAAAGGCGCUCUGCGCCGCUGACGAUGGCCGCGCGCAUUAGCUAGUUGGUGGGGUAACGGGCUCACCAAGGCGACGAUGCGUAGCCGACCUGAGAGGGUGAACGG